This is a non-coding RNA of Punica granatum (pomegranate), 453 nucleotides long. The record is from RefSeq and is a predicted model, not a curated record. NCBI's taxonomy places the organism in Eukaryota, Viridiplantae, Streptophyta, Magnoliopsida, Myrtales, Lythraceae.
GUAAAGCAAACAAGUCGAAAACAGAAAGAUAGCGAUGCUCGUUCUUUUCUUUUUACAUGGUCGCAUGUAUCUUUCAGUUCCUCUGCGCCCUGACCUUACCAAUGGGAAACCGGGUCAUCACUUAUGUUGAAGAAAACCACGAGGACAAACGGUUGAUAUUCAUGGCAAAGUACUACUGCGUGAAAUUGCAUGCACUAUUUGGAGUUGCUCUGGCUGUUGGACUGGUAGUAGCUCGAAAGAUGGCUUAAGAUGAAGUUCAUUGUUUGCUAAUGCGUGACCGAGUGAAAAAGACCCGUCACAAGCAACGACCCGUCAAAAUGAAAUUCUGAUGCAGUGAAAAAGAAUAAAGAUGCAAGGAAAUCUUUAUCUCGAACUCGAUGAAUGUGACUGGGUUCCCAGCACAUAUGCAACAAAGAAAAUUCCACCUGUAACAUAUGGACAAUCAUCAGACUG